This is a long non-coding RNA of Hypomesus transpacificus, 1611 nucleotides long. RefSeq lists it as uncharacterized. The record is from RefSeq and is a predicted model, not a curated record. The transcript has 4 exons. Lineage: Eukaryota; Metazoa; Chordata; Actinopteri; Osmeriformes; Osmeridae.
AGUGUGUUGUGUGAAAUAUGUGCACUGUCGUUUAAAUUGUUUGUGCACUGUUUUAUUUGUAGGCUAUAUGUGAUUAAUGUGUUGUAUGAAAUGAGACAGAAGAAGGUUGCCUGUCAAUGAUGCUGCGUAUACCAAUUGUUUUAUGGUUGUGCAUGAACAGGGAAAUAAAGAAGCAUCUUCGUCAAGUGUUCGUCAGUCCCCUGUUUGACCACCGUCACACAUAACAUAGUACUUGCCGCCGCGUGGGACCCUGGCUUUGUUUACAUAAUUAGGGCCAUUGUCAGCUGCGCCUUGCAUAUUUAAGGCGGCUGCCUCGACUGGCAGCCUUGGCGCAAGAAUACUCGGUCGAACAAAGACAGGGAGUCCACCGAGGAAGGCCGACGGGGCCGGAUCACCUCUUCUGAUAAGUAUCAACCUAUUUGUAUUCUAAUCCAUACAUAUUCAUAGCUAGCAUGUGUUUCUUCAGCAUUCCCGCUCAUUACAACACUCGCAGACGUAGACGCAGAUAUGUCACAAAAUAUUAACGUUCCACUUCCAAUCUUAGCUACCUCUCCAGAUCUUCUCCACCUGCAGUCUCUCUUUCUAUAGGGCUCUGGAACUGCCAGUCUGCUGUGAACAAGGCAGAAUUCAUCCCGGCGUUUGCAUCCCAUGCUUCUCUGCACGGCCUUGCACUGACAGAGACAUAGAUCCGCCCAGAGAACACUGCAACUCCAGCUGCUCUCUCUGUCAACCACUCGUUCUCUCACUCACCUCGCUCAACCGGGCGAGGUGGUGGGACAGGUUUGCUUCUUUCCCCACAUAUUAAAUACACAUCCACACUACUCUCUGUUACUGCCAAGUCUGUUGAACACCAUUAUGUAAUGCUAACCGAUCCUAUCAUAGCACUCUUAAUUGUCCUCAUAUCGCCCACCAGGGCCGCUAGCUGACUUUGUGGAGGAGCUCGACAUGCUCCUCAGCGUCCUCCCGGAUGAUGGAACACCGCUGAUAUUCCUUGGGGACUUCAACAUCCACCUCUAAAGACCGCAGGCCGUCGACUUCAAGUCUCUUCUGACUUCCUUCAACCUGAAGCUGCUGAACACAACGGCGACCCACAAGGCAGGAUAACAACUUGACCUCAUCCUGACACGCCUGUGCGUUCUUCCCCCUCCUGCCCGUGGCUCACAGAUGUUAUUUGUGAAGAACGGUCCACCCUUCGGGCAUCUGAGAGGAGAUGGCGCAAGUCCAAAGACGAUCUGGACCUUGAUAAAACAACCUGCUUGACUCCAACCAAUCAGGCUUCAAGACUGAGCGGCUUUGAGGUCAUCCGUCAUCAUUCUGCUGGACCUUUCUGCAGCUUUUGAUACGGUUAACAAUCAAAUCCUGCUCGCCAGAUGGGCAUCACCGGCACUGCACUUAAGUGGAUCCUACCUGUCAGGAAUCUUCACCAAUCUUCACCUCCCAUGGCUUCUCCAAACACUGCUACGCUGAUGACACGCAGCUGUACCCGUCAUUCCCGACAGAUCCAAGGAUCUCAUCUAGGAUCGAGGCCUGCCUCACAGACAUCUCCGCCUGGAUGACCGAGCACCACCUCCAGCUGAACCCCGCCAAAACAGAACUCCUCAUCAUCCCGGC